RNAcentral lists this ribosomal RNA (331 nucleotides) under uncultured bacterium. RNAcentral's name for it is "bacterial SSU rRNA". It matches the Rfam family "Bacterial small subunit ribosomal RNA", at positions 568 to 898 of the family's 1533-position model. The record is from RNAcentral.
CGCGUAGGCGGCUUGUACAGUCAGACGUGAAAUUCCUGGGCUCAACCUGGGGGCUGCGUUUGAUACGUGCGGGCUUGAGUUCGGAAGAGGGUCGCGGAAUUCCCAGUGUAGAGGUGAAAUUCGUAGAUAUUGGGAAGAACACCGGUGGCGAAGGCGGCGACCUGGUCCGAUACUGACGCUGAGGCGCGAAAGCGUGGGGAGCAAACAGGAUUAGAUACCCUGGUAGUCCACGCCGUAAACGAUGUGCGCUGGAUGUUGGGUGACAUAGUCAUUCAGUGUCGUAGCUAACGCGAUAAGCGCACCGCCUGGGGAGUACGGCCGCAAGGUUGAA